AGCCUUUAAGCAUGGUAAUGCAAACACAAAGAGGCAUGCUCAGGAUGCUCUUACAAAUCUAAAACAGUUAUCAGGUGUUAGUGGAAGGAGUUCAAGCCAAGCUCAUUCAAGAAGAUAGUCAACAACUGUAACUGAAUGUUUGUAAAUAAUAUUAUAUGAUAAAUGAAGCCAAAAUCUGGUUCCACAGAUAAGGAGAUAAGGAGAGGUCCCACGAUCUGGUCUUAGAGGGGACAUGCAAAACAAGAAAGACGAUGUCGGAGACUUUUGGGGCGUGACGAAGCACAAGCAGGGAUCCUCUGAUGCCCAAGUUAAAGAGAAUUGGCGAGACCAGAGUUUAGGGAAAAA
Molecule: unclassified non-coding RNA, 345 nt
Filed under: Hevea brasiliensis (rubber tree)
Lineage: Eukaryota; Viridiplantae; Streptophyta; Magnoliopsida; Malpighiales; Euphorbiaceae
Source: RNAcentral